CGGCGUUGAAGCAACGCCUCUAGUUGUCGAUGGCAUUAUGUAUGUCACAGCGUCGUGGAGCGUGGUGCAUGCAAUCGACGUCCGCACCGGCAAGAAGAUCUGGACCUUCGACCCCGAGGUUUCACGCUCUAUCGGCUACAAGGGCUGCUGCGAUGUCGUGAAUCGCGGUGUUGCGCUUCACAAGGGCAAGAUCUUCGUCGG
This 201-nucleotide unclassified non-coding RNA is filed under the name Hevea brasiliensis (rubber tree). Lineage: Eukaryota; Viridiplantae; Streptophyta; Magnoliopsida; Malpighiales; Euphorbiaceae. The record is from RNAcentral.